CCUGUUGCAUCCAGCAGAAAAGCCAACGGGACAGAAAGUCCUCAGGGAAAAGAUGUGGUGGAUACUGUCAUCAAUAUCAAGGCAGGCAAAGAAACAUCCUGGAUUGAUUCCAUUAAUUGGAUUUACUGGACUGGGAAUUACCAACGCAGCUCUCUACCUGGUAAAGCUUACCCUAUUCAACCCAGAUAUAAGUUGGGUGAAGAAGAAGGAACCAGAGCCUUGGUAUAAAUUAGAUUGAGAGCUCUGGAGAGGAGGCAAAGGCCGUAAGAUGUUUCAAUAAUGGAACAGGAUCUGAAACCACCCCUCUAGGAAGUCAUUGGAUCCUGCCUGACAUAACUACAGGAACAUAUUACUUCAUGUUACGCAAACAUAUUUGAAGAUAAAGUUCCUGCCUUUUUAACACUCUUUUCUGCCAUAGUGACAGUUUAUUUAAAUGACAGGAGGAUGCUGGGAAUUAGCUCUGUGGCAGCUUGAGCUCUAUAGAUUGCUUACCCUUGUAUUAAACUACAAUUGGCAGCAUGCUAUAGAAUAAAGGUAUUACUGAACUUUUGCUCUGAAUGUACCCAGACACUCAUUGUAAGCAUUUUAAGCAGUUAGCAGGUUGUGUAGGAAAGUAAAUGUUUAGCUUAACUAUAGUGAUUAGGUAUUUUACAGAUUCGUAGUAGAACAAUUGAUCAAUGAUGUAAAAUAGCCAAGUGCCAAGUGUACCGCUCCAGAUGUAGUUGUACUACCCCCUGCACAUCCUUGGGAUCUCAGUGUGGGUCACUGACAUCUAGGGGCCACAGGAUGAUGUUCUAGAUGUUAAGUGUGGUUUUGCAUCUGGUUAAUAUAAAGGAAACAUAUGUUUUGAAGAAAAUAAUGUGUGCUGUGUAGGUACUGUAUAUAAAUGAAAGGAAAAAUAUUACCAAAAUAUUAGGCUUAAUGAUGCUUAUUAUAUCAACACUGAGUCAGCACUAACAUGAGAUGUUUGUUAGUUCACCUGGAAAUAAAGGAAUAUAUACCAAAGUACAGUAUAAAUCAUAGAUAAAUAAUAAUUUACCCUCUAAAAAAGGUAUUCUAAAUAUUUCUAGUCAUAGCUAAUUAUAUUCAAAGCUUAGACCUGAAGAUGGCUAAAGCUGCCCAUACACAUAACAACAAAGUACAGGUAUAGAACCUGUUAUCCGCAAAUGCAUUAUCCAGGAA
Long non-coding RNA from Xenopus tropicalis (tropical clawed frog), 1182 nucleotides. RefSeq lists it as uncharacterized. The record is from RefSeq and is a predicted model, not a curated record. NCBI's taxonomy places the organism in Eukaryota, Metazoa, Chordata, Amphibia, Anura, Pipidae. The transcript is spliced from 4 exons.